RNAcentral lists this ribosomal RNA (513 nucleotides) under uncultured bacterium. Its description in RNAcentral is "bacterial SSU rRNA". It matches the Rfam family "Bacterial small subunit ribosomal RNA", at positions 28 to 526 of the family's 1533-position model. The record is from RNAcentral.
GACGAACGCUGGCGGCGUGCCUAAUACAUGCAAGUCGAGCGGACCAAAGGGAGCUUGCUCCUGGAGGUUAGCGGCGAACGGGUGAGUAACACGUGGGCAACCUGCCUGUAAGACUGGGAUAACAUCGAGAAAUCGGUGCUAAUACCGGAUAAUAAAAAGAACUGCAUGGUUCUUUUUUGAAAGAUGGUUUCGGCUAUCACUUACAGAUGGGCCCGCGGCGCAUUAGCUAGUUGGUGAGGUAACGGCUCACCAAGGCAACGAUGCGUAGCCGACCUGAGAGGUGAUCGGCCACACUGGGACUGAGACACGGCCCAGACUCCUACGGGAGGCAGCAGUAGGGAAUCUUCCGCAAUGGACGAAAGUCUGACGGAGCAACGCCGCGUGAGUGAUGAAGGUUUUCGGAUCGUAAAACUCUGUUGUUAGGGAAGAACAAGUGCCGUUCGAAAGGGCGGCACCUUGACGGUACCUAACGAGAAAGCCACGGCUAACUACGUGCCAGCACCGCGGUAAAGU